GGGUAUAGCUCAAGUGUUAGAGCACAUACUUAACAUGCAUGAGAUCCUGGGUUCAACCCCUGGUACUUCCU
This 71-nucleotide transfer RNA is filed under the name Camelus bactrianus (Bactrian camel). It matches the Rfam family "tRNA". From Rfam's summary of the family: Transfer RNA (tRNA) molecules are approximately 80 nucleotides in length. RNAcentral also lists the same sequence under 1 other name. The record is from Rfam by way of RNAcentral. Lineage: Eukaryota; Metazoa; Chordata; Mammalia; Artiodactyla; Camelidae.